Eriocheir sinensis (Chinese mitten crab) is the source of this 878-nucleotide long non-coding RNA. RefSeq lists it as uncharacterized. NCBI's taxonomy places the organism in Eukaryota, Metazoa, Arthropoda, Malacostraca, Decapoda, Varunidae. The record is from RefSeq and is a predicted model, not a curated record. The transcript has 4 exons.
GGGGAACUUAAUCAAGAAACAUGAUCCCCGCAGCUACCGGGUUAAGACCUUGGAGCCACCACGGAAUAUGAGAUUACUUUAUGUGGAGGUGGUUUGCUGUGCCCUGAGUGAGAAGAAGGGCAGGAGGAGGAAGGAAAAGGUCACUAUGUCGGCUGAGGAGAUGGAGGGAGAGAGGACCGAGGAAUGCAAAGUAUCAGAGGUUAAUGAUUCUAAGAAGACCGUACGCAGAGCUACUGUCUUGGCGGUGACGAGGCGGAGGAGGAGGAAGGAGGAGGUCACUAUUUCGGCCGAGGAGAUGGAGGGAGAAAGGACCGAGGAAUGCGAAGUGUCUGAGGUUAAUGAUUCUAAGGAGACCAUAGAGCUGCUGUACGUCUUGGCGGUGAGGAGGCGGAGGAGGAGGAAGGAGGAGGUCACUAUUUCGGCCGAGGAGAUGGAGGGAGAAAGGACCGAGGAAUGCAAAGUAUCAGAGGUUAAUGAUUCUAAGAAGACCGUACGCAGAGCUACUGUCUUGGCGGUGACGAGGAGGAGGAAGGAGGAGGUCACUAUUUCGGUUGAGGAGAUGGAGGGAGAGAGGACCGAGGAAUGCAAAGUAUCAGAGGUUAAUGAUUCUAAGAAGACCGUACGCAGAGCUACUGUCUUGGCGGUGAGGAGGAGGAGGAGGAGGAAGGAGGAGGUCACUAUUUCGGCUGAGGAGAUGGAGGGAGAGAGGACCGAGGUAUGCGAAGUGUCUGAGGUUAAUAAUUCUAAGACCGUGGAGUUACUGUCUUGGCGGUGAGGCGGAGGAGGAGGAGGAAGAGGAAAAAGAGGCCGGGAUAGGUGAAGGACCCCGACUGAGCAGAUGAAAGAAGGGAGAAAGAGGAACAAUGAGUACAUAGACU